Molecule: non-coding RNA, 73 nt
Organism: Schistocerca nitens (vagrant locust)
Lineage: Eukaryota; Metazoa; Arthropoda; Insecta; Orthoptera; Acrididae
Source: the annotation of a RefSeq genome assembly
GUUUCCGUGGUGUAGCGAUUAUCACGUCUGCUUCAUACGCAGACGGUCCUCGGUUCGAUCCCGGGCGGGAACA